UACGAAGGGUGCAAGCGUUACUCGGAAUUACUGGGCGUAAAGCGUGCGUAGGUGGUUUGUUAAGUCUGUUGUGAAAGCCCCGGGCUCAACCUGGGAAUGGCAAUGGAUACUGGCAAGCUAGAGUGCGGUAGAGGGUAGUGGAAUUCCCGGUGUAGCGGUGAAAUGCGUAGAGAUCGGGAGGAACACCUGCGGCGAAGGCGGGUUGCUGGGCCGACACUGACGCUGAUGCGCGAAAGCCAGGGGAGCGAACGGG
This 253-nucleotide ribosomal RNA is filed under the name uncultured bacterium. RNAcentral's name for it is "partial 16S ribosomal RNA". It matches the Rfam family "Bacterial small subunit ribosomal RNA", at positions 524 to 776 of the family's 1533-position model. The record is from RNAcentral.